Long non-coding RNA from Oncorhynchus gorbuscha (pink salmon), 1025 nucleotides. RefSeq lists it as uncharacterized. The transcript is spliced from 4 exons. Lineage: Eukaryota; Metazoa; Chordata; Actinopteri; Salmoniformes; Salmonidae. The record is from RefSeq and is a predicted model, not a curated record.
GGAGGGGAGGAGUAAGACAAGUACCUCAAACACAGCAGCUCUUCCAACAGACUGCUGCCACCAAGGCCAGAGAGAGGUGCACCAGGGGGCUGCAGCUGAGAGCCAGCCUGCCCAGAGACCUGGGCAUCAUAGACCAGGUGUACCAGCUCCUCAAGGGAAUGCCCUUCUAUAAAGACGUCACAGUGCCACUUGUUGUCAAGACUGACUCACGGCAAUACAUAAGCAACAUGGCUGCCAAGCCCUAUUGGCCCUGGCGGGAUCAAGACUUGCACCCCCAGGGGCUGGGCCACAGUGUCUCCACCAUGCCUCUCCAGGGCAUGUGCCCAAAUUGGGUGUGAAGUGCACCGAUUCGGAGUGAACAAUGUUUCCUCUUACCCAUGCCUCUCUGGGUAAGCUGGGUAACAACAACAGCAGCUUUGCUGAAACGCACAUGCAGGGAUCUCCCCCUACCACCCUGAGGCUGCCCCACCCCAGGCUGCCCCUCCCUCAGGUAUGUGAAGGACCCAGCGCUCCCCAGGCCUCUACACCAUCUCUAAGCUAGCCCCUAUGACCAAGCGGCCAAUACUUCAAUUUGUUGAUUGCCCCCUCUAUAUCUGUCAUGGCCCUGUCACAGAACAGCAGGUAGGAAAUCAGCUAAUGACAUAUAAGAUUGUUUGUGGUAACAAAUAUCACCUCUCAUGAGGUUUUGGGCAAAUAGGUAAUACAAGGUGGGUGAAAUAAGAUUUUCCUACACCUGUUGGGGAAAGCACAGCAGCUGUCUUUGUCUUCGGCCCAUGAUCUAAAGUGGAUGCAGCACAAGGCUCUCACUCCGGCAGCCCACAUCUGGCUGCCGCAGCUCUCCGGUGGACACUUUGUGGCAUCGUACGGAGUGAUGGAGAUAUACCAGGCUACAGACCAGACCGUGGUCAACCGCUGUGAUUAGGCCAUCGACCACCAUCACUCCCGGGACCUGGUGAAAGAAGAAGCUAUGGAUGUAGAUACCGGCAAGACUGCUGUCCCUUCCAUGAACAAGCCAAACCAGCCGA